GCGGCGGACGGGUGAGUAACACGUGGGCAACCUGCCCUGCAGACUGGGAUAACUUCGGGAAACCGGAGCUAAUACCGGAUAACACCGAAAACCGCAUGGUUUUCGGUUGAAAGGCGGCUUUUAGCUGUCACUGCAGGAUGGGCCCGCGGCGCAUUAGCUAGUUGGUGAGGUAACGGCUCACCAAGGCGACGAUGCGUAGCCGACCUGAGAGGGUGACCGGCCACACUGGGACUGAGACACGGCCCAGACUCCUACGGGAGGCAGCAGUAGGGAAUCUUCCGCAAUGGACGAAAGUCUGACGGAGCAACGCCGCGUGAGCGAAGAAGGUCUUCGGAUCGUAAAGCUCUGUUGUCAGGGAAGAACAAGUACCGUUCGAACAGGGCGGUACCUUGACGGUACCUGACAAGGAAGCCACGGCUAACUACGUGCCAGCAGCCGCGGUAAUAC
RNAcentral lists this ribosomal RNA (447 nucleotides) under Aeribacillus sp. G24D002. RNAcentral's name for it is "bacterial SSU rRNA". It matches the Rfam family "Bacterial small subunit ribosomal RNA", at positions 95 to 526 of the family's 1533-position model. Lineage: Bacteria; Bacillati; Bacillota; Bacilli; Caryophanales; Bacillaceae. RNAcentral also lists the same sequence under 1 other name. The record is from RNAcentral.